RNAcentral lists this ribosomal RNA (497 nucleotides) under uncultured bacterium. RNAcentral's name for it is "partial 16S ribosomal RNA". It matches the Rfam family "Bacterial small subunit ribosomal RNA", at positions 28 to 507 of the family's 1533-position model. The record is from RNAcentral.
GAUGAACGCUGGCGGCGUGCCUAAUACAUGCAAGUCGAGCGAACAGAUAAGGAGCUUGCUCCUUUGAAGUUAGCGGCGGACGGGUGAGUAACACGUGGGUAACCUACCUAUAAGACUGGGAUAACUUCGGGAAACCGGAGCUAAUACCGGAUAACAUUUAGAACCGCAUGGUUCUAAAGUGAAAGAUGGUUUUGCUAUCACUUAUAGAUGGACCCGCGCCGUAUUAGCUAGUUGGUAAGGUAACGGCUUACCAAGGCGACGAUACGUAGCCGACCGGAGAGGGGGAUAGGCCACACUGGAACUGAGACACGGUCCAGACUCCUACGGGAGGCAGCAGUAGGGAAUCUGCCGCAAUGGGCGAAAGCCUGACGGAGCAACGCCGCGUGAGUGAUGAAGGGUUUCGGCUCGUAAAACUCUGUUAUUAGGGAAGAACAAAUGUGUAAGUAACUGUGCACAUCUUGACGGUACCUAAUCAGAAAGCCACGGCUAACUACGUG